CCAUUAGCUGUGCUGCUAGGUGCCGGGCUUAGAGGAGUAGAAGACGGGAGAGCCAGCUGCCGCCUGCUGGAAGCUGGAGUCUGCACUGCGGUUCGGUUCGCCUUGCUGCAGCUCACCUCACUGUGGUUGGCGGUAGCCAUGGAGUCAUGCCCCUGGAGCGACUUUACCUUGUGGGUUCACAGGGGAGACUACUGUUGCUAAACCCUGCUGAGCGUCGUUUCUGGUGGGCAGAAUUGACAAGCCACCUGCUUCUUCACUACUCCUGACUCAUCUCUGCAGAGCAGACACACCUCACUUUUUGGGCAUCAUUGAAGAAUGUUCUGGUGUCCCCUGUCCUGGGUGUGAUCACAGGAAUGCUCAUCCUCAUCCUUGUCCCAGCCACUAAGAGAGGCCAUGCCAACUAGCUUGGGGACCAGCUCAAGGCCUGGACCUCAUGGCUCCGAGAUAUGAAGGCCCCGAUCCGAAACCUCAUCUUCGGGGCCAUCACCUGCAAUACGGGCUUCCUGGGCAUGGUCACGGGUACGGGAGC
Molecule: non-coding RNA, 529 nt
Organism: Callithrix jacchus (white-tufted-ear marmoset)
Lineage: Eukaryota; Metazoa; Chordata; Mammalia; Primates; Cebidae
Source: RefSeq, a predicted model, not a curated record